This 373-nucleotide ribosomal RNA is filed under the name uncultured bacterium. RNAcentral describes it as "bacterial SSU rRNA". It matches the Rfam family "Bacterial small subunit ribosomal RNA", at positions 28 to 424 of the family's 1533-position model. The record is from RNAcentral.
AUUGAACGCUGGCGGCAUGGCUAAAGCAUGCAAGUCGAACGGACCCGCAAGGGGUCAGUGGCGAAAGGGUCAGUAAUACGAUCGAACGUACCCUGAGGUGUGGGAUAGCCGCGGGGAAACUGUGGGUAAUACCACAUGUGCUCUACGGAGGAAGGCCGCAAGGCGCCUCGGGAGCGGCGAUCGUCCUAUCAGGUAGUUGGCGGGGUAAUGGCCCACCAAGCCGAAGACGGGUAGCGGGUGNGAGAGCACGGCCCGCGACAUCGGGACUGAGACACUGCCCGGACUCCUACGGGAGGCUGCAGCGACGAAUCUUCCGCAAUGGGCGAAAGCCUGACGGAGCAAUGCCGCGUGCGGGAUGAAGCGGCUACGCCGU